UACAGAGGGUGCAAGCGUUGUUCGGAAUUACUGGGCGUAAAGCGAGUGUAGGCGGCCUAUUAAGUCAGAUGUGAAAUCCCUUGGCUCAACUGAGGAACUGCAUCUGAUACUGGUAGGCUUGAGUGUCGGAGGGGAUGGUAGAAUUCCUGGUGUAGAGGUGAAAUUCGUAGAUAUCAGGAGGAAUACCUGUGGCGAAGGCGACCAUCUGGAAGACAACUGACGCUGAGACUCGAAAGCGUGGGUAGCAAACAGGAUUAGAUACCCUGGUAGU
RNAcentral lists this ribosomal RNA (271 nucleotides) under uncultured bacterium. Its description in RNAcentral is "partial 16S ribosomal RNA". It matches the Rfam family "Bacterial small subunit ribosomal RNA", at positions 524 to 794 of the family's 1533-position model. The record is from RNAcentral.